UUUUAUAGCACGUANUGACGGANUCCAGACCCGGUUUUACCCAUAAUUUUUAUCAAGGUUGACCUCGGAUCAGAUAGGAGUACCCGCUGAACUUAAGCAUAUCAAUAAGCGGAGGAAAAGAAACCAACAGGGAUUGCCUCAGUAACGGCGAGUGAAGCGGCAACAGCUCAAAUUUGAAAUCUGGCCUUUUAGGUCCGAGUUGUAAUUUGUAGAGGAUGUUUUGGGUACCGCAGCCAUUUAAAUUUCUUGGAACAGAAUGUCAGAGAGGGUGAGAGUCCCGUCUGGAAUGGCAGUAGGGCCUAUGUAAAACUUCUUCGACGAGUCGAGUUGUUUGGGAAUGCAGCUCAAAAUGGGUGGUAAAUUUCAUCUAAAGCUAAAUAUUGGCCAGAGACCGAUAGCGCACAAGUAGAGUGAUCGAAAGAUGAAAAGCACUUUGAAAAGAGAGUUAAACAGUAUGUGAAAUUGUUGAAAGGGAAGCGCUUGCAACCAGACUUGAGUGUAAUGGUUCCCCCUUGUUUUUGCUUGGGCUACUCCAUUAUAUCCAGGCCAACAUCGGUUUUAAGGGCUGGUUAAAGGCCGUAGGAAUGUAUCUUCCUCCGGGAAGACUUAUAGCCUAGGGUGUCAUGCAGCCUCCUAGGACCGAGGAAUGCGCUUCGGCGAGGAUGUUGGCGUAAUGGUUGUAAGCGACC
Molecule: ribosomal RNA, 689 nt
Filed under: uncultured fungus
Lineage: Eukaryota; Fungi
Description: eukaryotic LSU rRNA
Rfam family: Eukaryotic large subunit ribosomal RNA
Source: RNAcentral